RNAcentral lists this ribosomal RNA (628 nucleotides) under uncultured archaeon. Its description in RNAcentral is "bacterial SSU rRNA". It matches the Rfam family "Archaeal small subunit ribosomal RNA", at positions 1 to 635 of the family's 1478-position model. The record is from RNAcentral.
UUCCGGNUGAUCUUGCCGGAGGUUACUGCUAUCGAGGUUCGACUAAGCCAUGCGAGUCGAAUGCCGCAAGGCAUGGCGUACUGCUCAGUAACACGUGGACAACCUACCCUUAGGACUGGGAUAACCCCGGGAAACUGGGAAUAAUCCCCGAUAGUCCUCGAAGGCUGGAACGCAUCGAGGGCGAAAGCUCCGGCGCCUAAGGAUGGGUCUGCGGCCUAUCAGGUAGUAGUGGGUGUAGCGUACCUACUAGCCUACGACGGGUACGGGUUGUGAGAGCAAGAGCCCGGAGAUGGAUUCUGAGACACGAAUCCAGGCCCUACGGGGUGCAGCAGGCGCGAAAACUUUACAAUGCUGGCAACAGCGAUAAGGGAACCUCGAGUGCCAGGUUACAAAUCUGGCUGUCGAGAUGCCUAAAAAGCAUUUCAUAGCAAGGGCCGGGCAAGACCGGUGCCAGCCGCCGCGGUAACACCGGCGGCUCGAGUGGUAACCGUUAUUAUUGGGUCUAAAGGGUCUGUAGCCGGCCGGAUAAGUCUCUUGGGAAAUCUGGCAGCUCAACUGUCAGGCUAUCAGGAGAUACUGUCUGGCUCGAGGCCGGGAGAGGUGAGAGGUACUUCAGGGGUAGGGGUGA